Molecule: ribosomal RNA, 569 nt
Filed under: uncultured Gammaproteobacteria bacterium
Lineage: Bacteria; Pseudomonadati; Pseudomonadota; Gammaproteobacteria
Description: bacterial SSU rRNA
Rfam family: Bacterial small subunit ribosomal RNA
Source: RNAcentral
UCGAUUUGGAGUUUGUUGCCCUGAGUGAUGGGCUCCGAAGCUAACGCGAUAAAUCGACCGCCUGGGGAGUACGGCCGCAAGGUUAAAACUCAAAUGAAUUGACGGGGGCCCGCACAAGCGGUGGAGCAUGUGGUUUAAUUCGAUGCAACGCGAAGAACCUUACCUGGUCUUGACAUCCACAGAAUCUUGCAGAGAUGCGAGAGUGCCUUCGGGAACUGUGAGACAGGUGCUGCAUGGCCGUCGUCAGCUCGUGUUGUGAAAUGUUGGGUUAAGUCCCGCAACGAGCGCAACCCUUAUCCUUUGUUGCCAUCGGUUAGGCCGGGAACUCAAAGGAGACUGCCGUUGAUAAAGCGGAGGAAGGUGGGGACGACGUCAAGUCAUCAUGGCCCUUACGACCAGGGCUACACACGUGCUACAAUGGCGUAUACAAAGGGAGGCGACCUCGCGAGAGCAAGCGGACCUCAUAAAGUACGUCUAAGUCCGGAUUGGAGUCUGCAACUCGACUCCAUGAAGUCGGAAUCGCUAGUAAUCGUGAAUCAGAAUGUCACGGUGAAUACGUUCCCGGGCCU